RNAcentral lists this microRNA precursor (91 nucleotides) under Mus musculus (house mouse). Its description in RNAcentral is "predicted gene, 54448 (ENSMUSG00002076214.1)". The record is from RNAcentral. Lineage: Eukaryota; Metazoa; Chordata; Mammalia; Rodentia; Muridae.
UAUGUAUAUAUAUAUGUAUGUGUGUGUGUAUAUAUAUAUAUAUAUAUAUACACACACACACACACACACACACACACACACACACAUAUAU